This 460-nucleotide ribosomal RNA is filed under the name uncultured bacterium. RNAcentral describes it as "partial 16S ribosomal RNA". It matches the Rfam family "Bacterial small subunit ribosomal RNA", at positions 338 to 795 of the family's 1533-position model. The record is from RNAcentral.
CCUACGGGCGGCAGCAGUGAGGAAUAUUGGUCAAUGGACGCAAGUCUGAACCAGCCAUGCCGCGUGCAGGAAGACGGCUCUAUGAGUUGUAAACUGCUUUUGUACGAGGGUAAACGCAGAUACGCGUAUCUGUCUGAAAGUAUCGUACGAAUAAGGAUCGGCUAACUCCGUGCCAGCAGCCGCGGUAAUACGGAGGAUUCAAGCGUUAUCCGGAUUUAUUGGGUUUAAAGGGUGCGUAGGCGGUCGGAUAAGUUAGAGGUGAAAUCCCGAGGCUCAACUUCGGCAUUGCCUCUGAUACUGUUCGGCGAGAGAGUAGUUGAGGUAGGCGGAAUGUAUGGUGUAGCGGUGAAAUGCUUAGAGAUCAUACAGAACACCGAUUGCGAAGGCAGCUUACCAAGCUACUUCUGACGUUGAGGCACGAAAGCGUGGGGAGCAAACAGGAUUAGAUACCCGGGUAGUC